RNAcentral lists this ribosomal RNA (211 nucleotides) under uncultured bacterium. RNAcentral's name for it is "partial 16S ribosomal RNA". It matches the Rfam family "Bacterial small subunit ribosomal RNA", at positions 524 to 733 of the family's 1533-position model. The record is from RNAcentral.
GACGGGGGGGUCCUAGCGUUGUUCGGAAUUAUUGGGCGUAAAGCGUGUGCAGGUUGUCUGAAAAGUUAGAUGUGAAAUCCUUGGGCUCAACCCAAGACGUGCAUUUAAAACUGCCAGACUUGAAUAUCGAAGAGGUUCGUGGAAUUCCAGGUGUAGUGGUGAAAUACGUAGAUAUCUGGAGGAACACCGGCGGCGAAGGCGGCGAACUGGU